CCUACGGGUGGCAGCAGUGGGGAAUAUUGGACAAUGGGGGAAAGUCUGAUGCAGCGAAGCCGCGUGAAGGAAGAAGGAUUUCGGUAUGGAAACUUCUAUCAGCAGGGAAGAAAAUGACGGUACCUGACUAAGAAGCCCCGGAUAACUACGUGCAAGCAGCCGCGGUAAUACGUAGGGGGCAAGGGUUAUCCGGAUUUACUGGGUGUAAAGGGAGCGUAGGCGGUUCAGCAAGUCAGAAGUGAAAGCCCGGGGCUCAACGCCGGGACUGCUUUUGAAACUGUUGAACUUGAUUGCAGGAGAGGUAAGUGGAAUUCCUAGUGUAGCGGUGAAAUGCGUAGAUAUUAGGAGGAACACCAGUGGCGAAGGCGGCUUACUGGACUGUAAAUGACGCUGAGGCUCGAAAGCGUGGGGAGCAAACAGGAUUAGAUACCCGUGUAGUC
RNAcentral lists this ribosomal RNA (440 nucleotides) under uncultured bacterium. Its description in RNAcentral is "partial 16S ribosomal RNA". It matches the Rfam family "Bacterial small subunit ribosomal RNA", at positions 338 to 795 of the family's 1533-position model. The record is from RNAcentral.